This 301-nucleotide ribosomal RNA is filed under the name uncultured bacterium. RNAcentral describes it as "partial 16S ribosomal RNA". It matches the Rfam family "Bacterial small subunit ribosomal RNA", at positions 509 to 807 of the family's 1533-position model. The record is from RNAcentral.
CAGCCGCCACGGUAAUACGGAGGGUGCAAGCGUUAAUCGGAAUUACUGGGCGUAAAGCGUGCGUAGGCGGUUCGUUAAGUCUGUUGUGAAAGCCCCGGGCUCAACCUGGGAAUGGCAAUGGAUACUGGCGAGCUAGAGUGUGUCAGAGGAUGGUGGAAUUCCCGGUGUAGCGGUGAAAUGCGUAGAGAUCGGGAGGAACAUCAGUGGCGAAGGCGGCCAUCUGGGACAACACUGACGCUCAUGCACGAAAGCGUGGGGAGCAAACAGGAUUAGAUACCCGCGUAGUCCCUGUCUCUUAUAC